Planococcus citri (citrus mealybug) is the source of this 335-nucleotide long non-coding RNA. RefSeq lists it as uncharacterized. The transcript is spliced from 2 exons. Lineage: Eukaryota; Metazoa; Arthropoda; Insecta; Hemiptera; Pseudococcidae. The record is from RefSeq and is a predicted model, not a curated record.
UGCGACACCUUUGUGUUGAGUACGCGUGCGUUGUGUUUGUGGUAGGGUUUGCAUAUGGUUCCAGCAUGGAUAGUUCAGCUAAAAAUAUAUCAAGAUUACAAAUUUUCCAUGAAUUUUUUUUUAUAAACGGAAAAUUUAUAAAAAACCCUGAUGUUCCGGAAACGUUGUGCUCGAGAUUAAAAGUUCCAAGAAGACGACGAUGAUGACGAUACAGACCAAGAAGACGACGACGAUGACGAUAAAGACCAAGAAGAAGACGACGACGACGACGAGGACCAAGAUAAUGACGAUUAGAUUAAGUUGUGAUGUUAUGUGAAUUAAAAAUUUAAGCCGUU